GUGAGGAAUAUUGCGCAAUGGAGGCAACUCUGACGCAGCCAUGCCGCGUGCAGGAAGAAGGCGCUACGCGUUGUAAACUGCUUUUAACCGGGAAGAAACCCCAGGACGUGUCCUGGGUUGACGGUACCGGAGGAAUAAGCACCGGCUAACUUCGUGCCAGCAGCCGCGGUAAUACGAAGGGUGCAAGCGUUAUCCGGAUUCAUUGGGUUUAAAGGGUGCGUAGGCGGAGCGUUAAGUCAGUGGUUAAAUCCUGCAGCUUAACUGUAGACUUGCCAUUGAUACUGGCGCUCUUGAGUGCGCUUGAAGUGGGCGGAAUGUGCCGUGUAGCGGUGAAAUGCUUAGAUAUGGCACAGAACACCAAUUGCGAAGGCAGCUCACUAAGGCGAUACUGACGCUGAGGCACGAAAGCGUGGGGAUCGAACAGGAUUAGAUACCCCAGUAGUCC
Molecule: ribosomal RNA, 445 nt
Filed under: uncultured bacterium
Lineage: Bacteria
Description: partial 16S ribosomal RNA
Rfam family: Bacterial small subunit ribosomal RNA
Source: RNAcentral